This 106-nucleotide microRNA precursor is filed under the name Marmota monax (woodchuck). The record is from RNAcentral. Lineage: Eukaryota; Metazoa; Chordata; Mammalia; Rodentia; Sciuridae.
CAAGAAAUCACCUAGAGAACCCAUUAAUAGGCAGAUUCAAAUGCAGCCAGUCUGGGGGUGAAUCCUGAGACUCUGCAUUUCUCAUGAGCUUCCAGGUGAUGCUGCU